This 500-nucleotide ribosomal RNA is filed under the name Badis siamensis. RNAcentral's name for it is "partial 12S ribosomal RNA". It matches the Rfam family "Bacterial small subunit ribosomal RNA", at positions 801 to 1533 of the family's 1533-position model. The record is from RNAcentral. Lineage: Eukaryota; Metazoa; Chordata; Actinopteri; Anabantiformes; Badidae.
UAAACAUUGAUAGAACUUUACACACACUAUUCGCCAGGGGACUACGAGCAUCAGCUUAAAACCCAAAGGACUUGGCGGUGCUUAAGACCCACCUAGAGGAGCCUGUUCUAGAACCGAUAAUCCCCGUUCAACCUCACCCUCCCUUGUUCAUUCCGCCUAUAUACCGCCGUCGUCAGCUUACCCUAUGAAGGUUAAAUAGUAAGCAAAAUCGGCACAACCCAAAACGCCAGGUCGAGGUGUAGCGCAUGAGAGGGGAAGAAAUGGGCUACAUUCCCUAAACUAGGGCAUACGGAAGACAAGUUGAAAUUACUUAUCUGAAGGAGGAUUUAGCAGUAAGUGGAAGGCAGAGAACUCCACUGAAACCGGCCCUAAAGCGCGCACACACCGUCCGUCACUCUCCCCAAACAUACGAAAACCCAAACUAACUAAAACCUUAGUAGCAAAAAGGGGAGGCAAGUCGUAACAUGGUAAGUGUACCGGAAGGUGCACUUGGAUAAAAU